RNAcentral lists this ribosomal RNA (425 nucleotides) under uncultured bacterium. RNAcentral describes it as "partial 16S ribosomal RNA". It matches the Rfam family "Bacterial small subunit ribosomal RNA", at positions 354 to 796 of the family's 1533-position model. The record is from RNAcentral.
GUGGGGAAUCUUGCACAAUGGGCGAAAGCCUGAUGCAGCCAUGCCGCGUGAAUGAUGAAGGCCUUAGGGUUGUAAAAUUCUUUCGUCAGGGAUGAUAAUGACCGUACCUGAAGAAGAAGCCCCGGCUAACUUCGUGCCAGCAGCCGCGGUAAUACGAAGGGGGCUAGCGUUGUUCGGAAUUACUGGGCGUAAAGCGCACGUAGGCGGACUUUUAAGUCAGGUGUGAAAUCCCGGGGCUCAACCUCGGAACUGCAUUUGAAACUGGAAGUCUUGAGAUCAGGAGAGGUUAGAGGAAUACCGAGUGUAGAGGUGAAAUUCGUAGAUAUUCGGUGGAACACCAGUGGCGAAGGCGGCUAACUGGACUGAUACUGACGCUGAGGUGCGAAAGUGUGGGGAGCAAACAGGAUUAGAAACCCCGGUAGUCC